AUUGAACGCUGGCGGCAUGCCUUACACAUGCAAGUCGAACGGCAGCGGGCCUUCGGGUGCCGGCGAGUGGCGAACGGGUGAGUAAUGCAUCGGAACGUGCCAUUGAGUGGGGGAUAACGUAGCGAAAGUUGCGCUAAUACCGCAUAUUCUGUGAGCAGGAAAGCAGGGGACCGCAAGGCCUUGCGCUCUUUGAGCGGCCGAUGUCAGAUUAGCUAGUUGGUGAGGUAAAGGCUCACCAAGGCGACGAUCUGUAGCGGGUCUGAGAGGAUGAUCCGCCACACUGGAACUGAGACACGGUCCAGACUCCUACGGGAGGCAGCAGUGGGGAAUUUUGGACAAUGGGGGCAACCCUGAUCCAGCCAUGCCGCGUGAGUGAAGAAGG
RNAcentral lists this ribosomal RNA (382 nucleotides) under uncultured bacterium. RNAcentral's name for it is "bacterial SSU rRNA". It matches the Rfam family "Bacterial small subunit ribosomal RNA", at positions 30 to 414 of the family's 1533-position model. The record is from RNAcentral.